UCCAGGGUAGCCUAGUGGACAUGGCAUCUGCCCGGUAAGCGGAAGAUCGUGGGUUCGUUUCCCGCCCCUGGAC
RNAcentral lists this transfer RNA (73 nucleotides) under Cordylochernes scorpioides. Its description in RNAcentral is "tRNA-Thr". It matches the Rfam family "tRNA". Rfam says of the family: Transfer RNA (tRNA) molecules are approximately 80 nucleotides in length. Their secondary structure includes four short double-helical elements and three loops (D, anti-codon, and T loops). Lineage: Eukaryota; Metazoa; Arthropoda; Arachnida; Pseudoscorpiones; Chernetidae. The record is from RNAcentral.